This 253-nucleotide ribosomal RNA is filed under the name uncultured bacterium. Its description in RNAcentral is "partial 16S ribosomal RNA". It matches the Rfam family "Bacterial small subunit ribosomal RNA", at positions 524 to 776 of the family's 1533-position model. The record is from RNAcentral.
UACGGAGGGUGCGAGCGUUAUCCGGAAUUACUGGGUUUAAAGGGUGCGUAGGCGGCUUGGUAAGUCAGGAGUGAAAGUUUGCAGCUCAACUGUAAAAUUGCUUUUGAUACUGCCGAGCUGGAAUCAGGAUGAGGUCAGCGGAAUGUGGCAUGUAGCGGUGAAAUGCAUAGAUAUGCCAUAGAACACCAAUUGCGAAGGCAGCUGGCUAGACCUGUAUUGACGCUGAGGAACGAAAGCGUGGGGAGCGAACAGG